GCCACUUUAGCUCAGCUGGUAGAGCAACUGACUUGUAAUCAGUAGGUCGUCCGUUCGAUUCGGACAAGUGGCUCCA
Molecule: transfer RNA, 76 nt
Filed under: Candidatus Saccharimonadota bacterium
Lineage: Bacteria; Candidatus Saccharimonadota
Also listed under: 3 other names
Description: tRNA-Thr
Rfam family: tRNA
About the family: Transfer RNA (tRNA) molecules are approximately 80 nucleotides in length. Their secondary structure includes four short double-helical elements and three loops (D, anti-codon, and T loops).
Source: RNAcentral